GUUGGCUUUAAAACAAGAGAUUGUAGAAAUGGAAGCCAUUUCUUUGUGGUUCUGCAGGUUUUCGUUAAUUUAUUUUCUUAUUUUUUCUCACAUGGUCAAGUCAGGAGACGCUUCACGUAAGUUUAAGUUACUCCAAGAGGCGCAGGUGAUGACACCACCCACCAUUCGACCACCUGAAAAAAAGGGAUUUGGACCUAAUAUUUGUCCUGGAUCACCGCCGCCACCGAAAAUUCCACCACCUGUGGCGUGUACACCACCACCACCACCGCCUGUGGUGUGUGCGCCACCACCGCCUGUGGCGUGUG
This 305-nucleotide unclassified non-coding RNA is filed under the name Hevea brasiliensis (rubber tree). Lineage: Eukaryota; Viridiplantae; Streptophyta; Magnoliopsida; Malpighiales; Euphorbiaceae. The record is from RNAcentral.